RNAcentral lists this ribosomal RNA (363 nucleotides) under uncultured eukaryote. RNAcentral's name for it is "partial 18S ribosomal RNA". It matches the Rfam family "Eukaryotic small subunit ribosomal RNA", at positions 592 to 976 of the family's 1831-position model. The record is from RNAcentral.
CAAUAGCGUAUACUAAUGUUGUUGCAGUUAAAAAGCUCGUAGUUGAACUUCUGGUAGGAGUGUCCCGGCCUUUUUGUUUUUACAAAUUGUAUGCUGUGUGACAUCUCUGGCCAUCCUUCUUCUUUGUUUAAAGAAGAUCUUUCACUGUAAAAAAAUUAGGGUGUUCAAAGCAAAAGUUUCUUUGGAAUAUAUUAGUAUGGGAUGAUAAGAUAGGCUCUAGAUGCUAUUUUGUUGGUUUGCACAUUUAGAGAAUGAUUAGCAGGGACAGUUGGGGGUAUUCGUACUUACAUGUCAGAGGUGAAAUUCUUGGAUUUUGGAAAGACGAACUACUGCGAAAGCAUUUACCAAGGAUGUUUUCAUUAA